RNAcentral lists this ribosomal RNA (384 nucleotides) under uncultured eukaryote. Its description in RNAcentral is "SSU rRNA". It matches the Rfam family "Eukaryotic small subunit ribosomal RNA", at positions 587 to 972 of the family's 1831-position model. The record is from RNAcentral.
AGCUCCAAUAGCGUAUAUUAAAGUUGUUGCAGUUAAAAAGCUCGUAGUUGAAUUUUGGGCCCGGCUGAGUGGUCUUGCAUUCGUUGUAAGCACUGCUCUGGUUGGGUCUUUCCUUCUGGCUAACCAGCUGCCUUUUACUGGGUCGGCUUGGGGAUCCAGGACUUUUACUUUGAAAAAAUUAGAGUGUUCAAAGCGGGCGUCAAAGCUUGAAUACAUUAGCAUGGAAUAAUAGAAUAGGACUUUGGUUCUAUUUUGUUGGCUUCUAGGACCGAAGUAAUGAUUAAUAGGGAUAGUUGGGGACGUUAGUAUUUAGUUGUCAGAGGUGAAAUUCUUAGAUUUACGAAAGACUAACUUCUGCGAAAGCAUUCGUCAAGGAUGUUUUCA